CAUACCGAACACGGAAGUUAAGCUCUUCAGCGCCGAUGGUAGUUGGGGGUUUCCCCCUGUGAGAGUAGGACGCCGCCAAGC
Molecule: ribosomal RNA, 81 nt
Filed under: Bacillus stratosphericus
Lineage: Bacteria; Bacillati; Bacillota; Bacilli; Caryophanales; Bacillaceae
Also listed under: 6 other names
Source: RNAcentral